Long non-coding RNA from Perognathus longimembris pacificus (Pacific pocket mouse), 266 nucleotides. RefSeq lists it as uncharacterized. The transcript has 3 exons. The record is from RefSeq and is a predicted model, not a curated record. NCBI's taxonomy places the organism in Eukaryota, Metazoa, Chordata, Mammalia, Rodentia, Heteromyidae.
ACACUGCUGGUGGGAAUGUAAACCAGUACAACCACUCUGGAAAGUAGUCUGGAGGUUCCUCCAAAAACUAAACACAGACAUAACUCUACAACCCAGCCAUAUCACUCCUAAGCAUCUACCCCAAGCAACAGGAACCAGGAAACAACAAGGACUCCUGCACAUCCAUGUUCACUGCUGCACUGUUCACAACAGCCAAGAUAUGGAAUCAACCCAAGUGCCCCACUACAGAUGAAUGGAUCCAAACAAUCCAGGUGGACCCAGAAAAU